RNAcentral lists this ribosomal RNA (496 nucleotides) under uncultured soil bacterium. RNAcentral's name for it is "bacterial SSU rRNA". It matches the Rfam family "Bacterial small subunit ribosomal RNA", at positions 98 to 633 of the family's 1533-position model. The record is from RNAcentral.
GCGAACGGCUGAGUAAUACAAAGGUAACCUGCCCUGAAGUGGGGGACAACUCCGAGAAAUCGGGGCUAAUACCGCAUACGAUCCUUGCUUGAAAGCCUCGCUUGAGGAAGGGCCUUUGUCCUAUCAGGUAGUUGGUGAGAUAAAAGCCCACCAAGCCUAAUACGGGUAGCUGGUCUGAGAGGAUGAUCAGCCAGACGGGGAAUGAGAGACGACCCCGACUCCUACGGGAGGCAGCAGCAAGGGAUCUUGCGCAAUGGGCGAAAGCCUGACGCAGCGACGCCGCGUGGGGGAAGAAGGCCUUCGGGUUGUAAACCCCUUUUCUUGGUGAAGAGGGACGGUAACCAAGGAAUAAGCCUCGGCUAACUACGUGCCAGCAGCCGCGGUAAUGCGUAGGAGGCGAGCGUUAUCCGGAAUCACUGGGCGUAAAGGGCGUGUAGGCGGUCCCUUAAGUUGGCAGUGAAAUCUCCCGGCUUAACUGGGAGGGGUCUGUCAAUAC